RNAcentral lists this non-coding RNA (23 nucleotides) under Rattus norvegicus (Norway rat). Lineage: Eukaryota; Metazoa; Chordata; Mammalia; Rodentia; Muridae. The record is from RNAcentral.
AUAUUCUUAUAUGGCCAUACUUG